Long non-coding RNA from Ailuropoda melanoleuca (giant panda), 381 nucleotides. RefSeq lists it as uncharacterized. NCBI's taxonomy places the organism in Eukaryota, Metazoa, Chordata, Mammalia, Carnivora, Ursidae. The record is from RefSeq and is a predicted model, not a curated record. The transcript is spliced from 3 exons.
GUUUACUGUCGGUCUCUUCCUACUAGAAUGGAAGCUCUCUGAGGAAGCUCCACGGGCUCAAGCUCUUGUUAACUUGGUAACUCCCCAGUGACGGGACACGACGUGGCACGCGCAGACGAUCAACACUACGUGCCAGGCAUUGGUUCAAGCACCUCCCAUACACUGACACAUUCAAUCCUCACUACUAACUUCCUUUUCAAGAUGAGGAAACCGAGAGUAAAACCCAUUUGUUAGAAGAAUUCUCCUGCUCUGGAAUGAAGCCGUCUGGUAGACCUUCCGUGAAACACACACGGCUGAAAUGAUCACGUCUCUUGAAGCUAUUUCAGGAUCUCCCAUCUUUCCACACUGAACCUGAAUUUCUCAGUAAGUCAUAUCGCUCCA